ACCUUUUACUGAGCAACUUCACUCUUUUGGUUGUUCUGAAUUGGAUCAUUAUUCCCAUAACGCAAAAAAAAUUAGAAAAGAGAUGGAAUGUAUUACUUGUUUUCACUGAUCGACAAGUGAAGGCAAAUUUGAGGAUGAGUACGGUAGCAGGUUAAUUUUCCAACAUUAGCCUAUUUACUGUAUGAUUGAAAUAUGGCUAAAAGUCUGGUGCUUAUUCUAAAUUAAGGAUCAUUGUAUUGAUCGCGUCAGGCAGUUAAGUCCUUACGACUAACAUCCCUGUCGGUAAACCGUCUUGCUAAGUACUACAGUAAAGAAAGUUGAGGUUAAGUAAAUAUAAUCAGGCUUAUCACUUUGAUUUUACUGUGAAGCUGACUUUGAUCAAUGACAUUUCCCUGAUACAUCUGUUUCUGUGCAGCCUUACAGACUUGAAUCAUUCAGCAGGACUACAAGCUCAUUUCUACAGCAAUGGUUCUAUAGGCCUGUCCAAUUAAAAUAAGGCAUUCAGGUGAAGUCCUAAAAAGACUAGCUGAUCAUACAAAGCACCAGCCUGAAGGCAGUGAGUGCUCUGCAGAGCGCUGUUGAGAAUUGUGGACCAGAUUAAAUUAAACAGCUCUAGAAAUUAAAAUAAUUCCCUGGGAAACUACACGUUGUCUAAAAUUAGUUAACUCUAUAAUAAAGCGCGGGGCAAUUUAAUGUCUGACUUCUGCUACUCAUCUCAGCGGAAACGCUUUUCUGAGAAAAAGCAGUUCAGUCUACAGCUCGCACUCUACCAGUCAAAGUGGGAGGCAUAACUUGGACAUCUAGUCCUUGACCAUUAUAAGUUCUGUUAAGUACAAGACAAUUUAGAACUGCAAAUAGUCAACGUUUACUGGCUGGCCCAAAAACGUUUACUGGCUUGCACAGGCAUGUGGAGUUCCCCAGCGUUUGUCAAUUGGUACCCUCCUGACUGACGCCAGAACGCCCUGACAUGGAAAGUGAAAUUAAAACGUGUACAGCAGGCGGCAUAGUGUGAGCGUGGUGCAUUACAAUAAUCAAGCAUCUCUAAAGCAGCGGGAGUAGUUUGAAAGUCGUUUUUAAGAUGGGAAGAUAUUGGAUGAUCUGAUCUGAGUUACAGCAGUCUAAUCCGAUCAGUGGGGCUUACAUUGUAUUCCUGCCAAGAAGAAGAGGCUUCACAGUGAAGCAGUCGGGCACCCCUCUCUAUAGAGCCAUCAUUUGGUCAAUAGUUCUUAACUUACCCUGCCCUAAACAAUAGCCUAAUGCUAUUAGACCAGAUAGGCUGCAUCUAACGUUUUCAAAAUGUCCCCCCUGGUUAUCAAAUUAAAAUAUCAGUUUAGAAGAGCAUCCCACUAGCGCUACAACAGUAGCAACAAAAUCGCCCCAUGUGGGUGUUGUGCAGAUAAAAAUAUUUUUUUAUGUCAAAUGGAAAUCUUUUCGAAGAAAGACCGCCUCCAAAACGAUUAAGCCUUCUUGUUGAGAUUUGCAACGAGUGUAUUUGAUUAGUUUUGGGGUAUUUUAUUUUAUUCCUAAUAACAUCAGAAUAAAUGUUGAAGAUAACUAAAUCACAGAGUAAUAUAUAACACCACUUGUGAUUUAUGUCAUUCUUUAAAUACUGAAAAAGGAAAACUAUGUAUGAUAAUAGUCGACCGAAAGACGAGAUUGAUUGCUUUUAGUUUACCAACAAAAUCAGCCCUCCUGAUAACCUUUGCCUGUGAAGAAAAGUUGAAUUGGUUUUAGAUUUUCUCUUUGUUAUAUUUUCAACAAACCUUUUCAGGUGAUCCAAUAAAUGCAACCAAACAUAAAACAUUCAGUCACAAUUCAAGUUAAAACAGACCAUGAUUGUUCAGAUAACUGCACAGCUACACUACAGAAACAGGUUUGUAUACGGGACUCGUGAAUAUGGGUUACUCAUCUUCACUUUUGCAAAUUCAAGAAAUUACCCAUUUCUUCUAAAAUGCUUGGUAGUUUUUUCUCUACAGGAUCUCUAUUUGCUCUCUCUGAGCUUUGCAAAGAACAAAACCCAACCAUCAAAUCCACAACUACAUCUUGCACGUGCUCAUUUGUGGUUUCUCUGAGUCUUCCCACUCACUGAAACCACACAGUGACAUCCACCGUCUCCGACCAGCACGCUCUGGUUGACUCAUUUCUGGGUUUGCCAUAUCAUGUAUCAAUGCAUCUCUGGAAAUGAGAAACAGCUUAUUUCACCUUCAAUGCGUUAAAGUGAUUCUCAUCUUAGGGUUUGGUAGCACCUGUGUUUCAAGAAUAGCCUUUCAAGAAAAGGACACUAGUUGGCCAAAGGUCAGUCUUCUGGAGCAUAGAGAAUAUGCAAAUGAAACGGAAAUGGAUAUUUGAAAUGUACUACGACAUUUUAUACAGGACUUGUACACUGUGCAUCAUGUAAUUUGUUAUUGAUUCCACUCCGCACUAUUGGAAUGUUCUGAUUUUCAUAAUAUACAUUUAUUUAUUACCGUGCCUAUUUAAUACUGUGCCUUACUGUGACAAUGCCAAUUAUCUUCAGAUUAACAGAUCCCCUCUGCAUGUCGUAACGGCAAAUAUCUUCUUGAUCAACCACUCGCCUCAAAAGACAAUAUUUAGUGGUACCAUGCAUUGGCUAAGUUCAUCACGUUUCACUGCAUUGUUGCAGUAUCUUGCAACCAACGCUAGAUGUGGAAUGUUAUUUGUAUCCAAGCUCGUCGAGAGCUACGCUGAACAGAGACGCACCUUUCAAUGCUGGAGUUUGCUGUCGCUUUACGUUUACAGCCAUAUUAAUAAUGUGCCUUUCUACAGUUCUUGCAGAAAUGUCCUAAAUCCUGGAGUUCAUUGUGUCUGCCCUGCUGCUGAGGAAAGCUUCCUGUAUAAACAGCUCUAUAGCUACUAGGGAUGGGCAAAACCAUCAUUUUCCGGGAAUCGGUUCCGUUCACUAUCACGAUUCGUUCGUUUGAUUUGUUCGUUUGAUUCGUUCGUUAAGUCAGAUGGUCUGUUACGUCAUUUGCCAGGGAAUCGGAAAUUGUGGAAUAAAUGUUAAUCAACAUGCAUGUAGCAUACUACUUUCUAUUGUUCUGGUGAAAUUACCCAGGUUAAGUGUAAAUAUUAAGCAUAUAUAUAAAGCACAUACGUGCCUUUUUUUCAUAAAUAUCCUUAAUACCUAAUGGGGUGCAGUAAAAAUUAAAUGGCGUCUUCCAAGUAGUGCUAAUAAGCAGUGAAGCACGUUAGCAACUAGACCAAACAAGACUCGUAAUGGUAGGUAAAAACAAUACUUUAUUAAAGCAUGCAAUUGAGACGUAGAACAAAAUAAA
Gadus macrocephalus (Pacific cod) is the source of this 3293-nucleotide long non-coding RNA. RefSeq lists it as uncharacterized. The transcript is spliced from 2 exons. The record is from RefSeq and is a predicted model, not a curated record. NCBI's taxonomy places the organism in Eukaryota, Metazoa, Chordata, Actinopteri, Gadiformes, Gadidae.